CAACCAGUGCUCCCAGUGCUCCCAGUUCAACCGGGGCUCCCAGGGAUCCCAGUUCAACCCCCAGUGCUCCCAGUUCAGUUCAACCAGUGCUCCCAGUUCAGUUCAACCAGUGCUCCCAGUGCUCCCAGUUCAACCCCCAGUGCUCCCAGUUCAGUUCAACCAGUGCUCCCAGUGCUCCCAGUGCUCCCAGUUCAACCGGGGCUCCCGGGGCUCCCAGUUCAACCGGUGCUCCCAGUUCAACCGGGGCUCCCAGUUCAACCAGUGCAACCCAGUUCAACCGGGGCUCCCGGGGCUCCCAGUUCAACCAGUGCUCCCAGUUCAACCAGUGCAACCCAGUUCAACCAGUGCUCCCAGUUCAACCAGUGCUCCCAGUUCAACCAGGGCUCCCGGGGCUCCCAGUUCAACCAGUGCUCCCAGUUCAGUUCAACCAGUGCUCCCAGUGCUCCCAGUGCUCCCAGUGCUCCCAGUUCAACCGGGGCUCCCGGGGAUCCCAGUUCAGUUCAACCAGUGCUCCCAGUUCAACCGGGGCUCCCAGUGCUCCCAGUGCCCCCCAGUGCUCCCAGUACCUCCCAGUUCAACCAGUGCCGCCCAGUGCUCCCAGUUCAACCAGUGCCGCCCAGUGCUCCCAGUUCAACCGGGGCUCCCAGUGCUCCCAGUUCAACCAGUGCAACCCAGUUCAACUGGGGCUCCCAGUGCUCCCAGUUCAACCAGUGCUCCCAGUGCUCCCAGUGCUCCCAGUGCUUCCAGUGCUCCCAGUUCAACCGGGGCUCCCAGUUCAACCCCCAGUGCUCCCAGUGCCCCCCAGUGCCCCCAGUGCCCCCCAGUGCUCCCAGUUCAGCCAGUGCUCCCAGUUCAACCAGUCCCUCCCAGUUCAAUCACCAGUGCCCCCCAGUGCCCCCCAGUGCUCCCAGUGCUCCCAGUUCAACCAGGGCUCCCAGUGCCUCCCAGUUCACCAACCAGGGCUCCCAGUGCUCCCAGUUCAACCAGUGCCUCCCAGUGCCCCCAGUUAACCCAGUGCCCCCCAGUCCUUCCCAGUUCACCCAGUGGAUCCCAGUUCACCCAAUUCCCCCCCAGUUCCCCCCCAGUCCCCCCCAGUCCCUCGCAGUUCCCUCCCAGUUCCCCCCAGUUCCCUCCCAGUUCCCUCCCAGUCCCUCCCAGUUCCCUCCCAGUCCCUCCCAAACCCCUCCCAGUCCCUCCCAGUCCCUCCCAGUCCCUCCCAGUUCCCUCCCAGUCCCUCCCAAACCCCUCCCAGUCCCUCCCAGUCCCUCCCAGUCCCUCCCAGUUCCCUCCCAGUCCCUCCCAAACCCCCCCCAGUCCCCCCCAGCCCCUCCCAGUCCCUCCCAGUUUGCCCAGUCGCUCACCGGUCGUGCCGCAUGCGCACGGCCAGCACGGGCCGGGGGAAGCUGAACUCCAGCACGAGCUUCUCCUUCCCCUCGCGGGCGUCGUCCCAGAUCAGCACUGCGGGCACGGCGCCGUGGGCACCCCGAAAUCCCCCAAAAACCCCCCAAAAAAACCCCAAAAACCCCACCAAAACCCCCCAAAAACCCCCCAAAAACGGGACACCCCGAAACUGCGGGCACGGCGCCGUGGGCACCCCGAAACCCCCCAAAAACCCCCAAAAAUGGGGCACCUCGAAACCUCCCAAAACCCCCCAAAAAACCCCCAAA
This is a long non-coding RNA of Chloebia gouldiae (Gouldian finch), 1667 nucleotides long. Lineage: Eukaryota; Metazoa; Chordata; Aves; Passeriformes; Passeridae. The record is from Ensembl.